GACGAACGCUGGCGGCGUGCCUAAUACAUGCAAGUUGAGCGAUGAAGAUUGGUGCUUGCACCAAUUUGAAGAGCAGCGAACGGGUGAGUAACGCGUGGGGAAUCUGCCUUUGAGCGGGGGACAACAUUUGGAAACGAAUGCUAAUACCGCAUAACAACUUUAAACAUAAGUUUUAAGUUUGAAAGAUGCAAUUGCAUCACUCAAAGAUGAUCCCGCGUUGUAUUAGCUAGUUGGUGAGGUAAAGGCUCACCAAGGCGAUGAUACAUAGCCGACCUGAGAGGGUGAUCGGCCACAUUGGGACUGAGACACGGCCCAAACUCCUACGGGAGGCAGCAGUAGGGAAUCUUCGGCAAUGGACGAAAGUCUGACCGAGCAACGCCGCGGGAGUGAAGAAGGGUGUCGGAUCGUAAAACUCGGUUGGUAGAGAAGAACGUUGGUGAGAGUGGAAAGCUCAUCAAGUGACGGUAACUACCCAGAAAGGGACGGCUAACUACGUG
This 497-nucleotide ribosomal RNA is filed under the name uncultured bacterium. Its description in RNAcentral is "partial 16S ribosomal RNA". It matches the Rfam family "Bacterial small subunit ribosomal RNA", at positions 28 to 507 of the family's 1533-position model. The record is from RNAcentral.